This 468-nucleotide ribosomal RNA is filed under the name uncultured bacterium. RNAcentral describes it as "partial 16S ribosomal RNA". It matches the Rfam family "Bacterial small subunit ribosomal RNA", at positions 28 to 507 of the family's 1533-position model. The record is from RNAcentral.
GACGAACGCUGGCGGCGUGCUUAACACAUGCAAGUCGAACGGAAAGGCCCUGCUUUUGUGGGGUGCUCGAGUGGCGAACGGGUGAGUAACACGUGAGUAACCUGCCCUUGACUUUGGGAUAACUUCAGGAAACUGGGGCUAAUACAGGAUAGGAGCUCCUGCUGCAUGGGGGGGGUUGGAAAGUUUCGGCGGUUGGGGCUGGACGCGCGGCUUGUCAGCUUGUUGGUGGGGUAGUGGCUUACCAAGGCUUUGACGGGUAGCCGGCCUGAGAGGGUGACCGGCCCCGUUGGGACUGCGAUACGGCCCAGACUCCUACGGGAGGGAGCAGUGGGGAAUAUUGCACAAUGGGCGGAAGCCUGAUGCAGCAACGCCGCGUGCGGGAUGACGGCCUUUGGGUUGUAAACCGCUUUCGCCUGUGACGAAGCGUGAGUGACGGUAACGGGUAAAGAAGCACCGGCUAACUACGUG